This 370-nucleotide ribosomal RNA is filed under the name uncultured organism. Its description in RNAcentral is "bacterial SSU rRNA". It matches the Rfam family "Bacterial small subunit ribosomal RNA", at positions 526 to 896 of the family's 1533-position model. The record is from RNAcentral.
CGAAGGGGGCUAGCGUUGCUCGGAAUCACUGGGCGUAAAGCGCACGUAGGCGGCUUUCUAAGUCAGGGGUGAAAUCCUGGAGCUCAACUCCAGAACUGCCUUUGAUACUGGAGAGCUUGAGUCCGGAAGAGGUGAGUGGAACUCCGAGUGUAGAGGUGAAAUUCGUAGAUAUUCGGAAGAACACCAGUGGCGAAGGCGGCUCACUGGUCCGGUACUGACGCUGAGGUGCGAAAGCGUGGGGAGCAAAUAGGAUUAGAUACCCUGGUAGUCCACGCCGUAAACGAUGGAUGCUAGCCGUUGGGGGGUUUACCCUUCAGUGGCGCAGCUAACGCAUUAAGCAUCCCGCCUGGGGAGUACGGUCGCGAGAUUA